This 253-nucleotide ribosomal RNA is filed under the name uncultured bacterium. RNAcentral describes it as "partial 16S ribosomal RNA". It matches the Rfam family "Bacterial small subunit ribosomal RNA", at positions 524 to 776 of the family's 1533-position model. The record is from RNAcentral.
UACGUAGGUGGCAAGCGUUGUCCGGAUUUAUUGGGUUUAAAGGGUGCGUAGGUGGUCUAUUAAGUCAGUGCUGAAAUAUCCCGGCUUAACCGGGAGGGUGGCAUUGAUACUGAUGGACUUGAGUAAAGUUGAGGUGGGCGGAAUUGACGGUGUAGCGGUGAAAUGCUUAGAUAUCGUCAAGAACAUCUAUUGCGAAGGCAGCUCACUAAGCUUUAACUGACACUGAGGCACGAAAGUGUGGGGAUCAAACAGG